GGAAUGGGGGGAAUGGGAGGAGGAGGAAUGAGGGGCAUGGGAGGGGGGAUGGGAGGAGGAGGCAUGGGGGGAAUGGGAGGAGGGGAUGGGAGGAAUGGGAGGAGGACUGGGUGGAGGAGGAAUAGGAGCAGGGAUGGGUGCUGGUGGAGGAAUAGGGUCCAGAGCAGGCGAGCCCUAUCGCCUGGCAACGCAUGAGAGUCCGACUUCCCCCCGACAUAUGCAGUCCAGCCAGGGGCCUGGCAUGGGGCAGGGCCCAGGGUCCGGUCAUGGUCACGGGAUGGGUCAUGGUCCCGCCGGGUCUGGCAUGGGAGUCCACGGCGGUCAGAGUCCCGGUCAGCACGCCUCCCGUCGAAACCUCCAAGUUGACUUCAGUGGAUCAGGCGGCUCCAGGACAGGCCGGUCUCCAUCUGUGUCUCCUGACCGCGGAGUGACACCCACAUCACCUUACUCGGUGCCUCAGAUCGCACCCAUGCCAAGCAGCAAACUGUGCCCAGUGUGCACCACCACAGAGCUGUCCAACCCACCGGCUGUACCUAACUACAAUACCUGCACCCAGUGUAAGGCCACCGUCUGUAACCAGUGUGGAUUCAACCCCAACCCACACCUCACUGAGGUCCAGGAGUGGUUGUGUCUGAAUUGUCAGAUGCAGAGAGCUCUUGGCAUUGAUAUGACCACGCCUCGCUCUAAGAGCCAACAGCAGAUUCACUCUCCAUCCCACCAAGCCAAACCCAUCGUCCAGCCUCAGCAGCCUGCACCUCAGCCAACACAGCCGGCAGCAGCACAGCCCAAACCUUUGGCACAGAGUCAGCCCACCCAGCGACAGCAGCAGCAGCAGCAGCAGCAGCCGCCUCAGUCUCAGCCCUAUGGGCAGACACAGCCCUAUUCCCAGUCCCAGCCAUACUCCCAGUCCCAACAGUAUCCCCCGUCUCAGUCCCAGACUUACCUUCCAUCCCAGCCAGGACCACAGACUCAGCCUCACGCCUCACCGGGUUUACAGAGACACCCAGGCCCUGGUGGCCCCCAUACUCAGACAGGGCCCUCUCAGCAGGGCAUGAGGUCCGACCCAUACUCCCAGAGAGGUCCUGGUGCUCCAGGAGCUGUCAGUGGUCCUGCAGGAGGCCCCAGCCAGCCUGGGGGUCCACGCAUUCCCCACCCUGGCGCUGUGCCCCUCCCUGGCUUGACCAAGGCGCCCUCCCAGCCCGAUUUGGGUCGUGGUUCUCCAAUGCACCAGCCGAUGGCACGCCACCACGACCAGACCAGAAGCGCCGGCUCCUCACCGGCCCACAGACCUCAGAGUCAGGCUCCUCCUCCUGCCCAGGAUGGCCUGACCAAACUCUUUGGCUUUGGAGCAUCGCUGCUCAAUCAGGCUAGUACCUUGAUUAGUGUUGACCCUCUACCCACUGCCUCCACUCAGCCAAGCCCUGCACGAGGAAAGGUGGUGUUCAGCAAUGCAACUCCUGACAGGCAGCAACAACAAGGUGCCACUAGCACCAAACCAUUCGGGAUGGGGGGCCCUCAUGCUCCAACUCAAAUGAGUGGCCCUCAUGCACCGAGCCAAAUGGGAGGCCCUUAUCCACCAAGCCAAAUGGGGGGUCCUCAUGCGCAGAGCCAAAUUGGAGGUCCCCAAAUGGGUGGACCACAUGCGCCAACCCAGAAGCAACAGCAGCAGACUAUGCCCCAUCAACAAGGAAUGCCACAACAGCAGUCACCUGCCCAUCAUCAAAAGGGGCAGCAAGGACAACCACAAGGACAACAACAUCAGCAAACACCUGCUCACCUGCAGAAAGCACCACAGAAGCAGGAGCCUGUGGUGGCGCCUGUGCCUGCACCAGAGCCUGUAAAGCCUAAAGUGAACUGUCCUCUUUGUAAAACAGAACUGAACAUCGGCAGCUCUGACCCACCCAACUACAACACCUGUACACAGUGUCAAAGCCAAGUGUGUAACCUAUGUGGCUUCAACCCCACUCCUCAUCUGGUGGAGAAAAAAGAGUGGCUAUGUCUCAACUGCCAGACCCAACGGCUGAUGUCCGGAGGCGGCCUCGAUGACCCUCCGCUUCCCGUUCCCCAUCCGUCUCCCAAGCACCAGCCAAUGGGCUCGCCUUGUCACCAGGCACCAACCAGCCAGCAAAGCCCUCUCCACAAACCCACCAGUCAGCAGGGGCCCAGACCAGCCCAGCCCCAGAAAACACAGACAGGAACUGGCGGAAGUGGGCCAUUUGCACCCACUGCUGGCAAGCAUUUGACAGACACUAAGACCACGACACCAGCUACGGCACCAGUACCAACCACUGACACCCAGAAACAGCCAAAACCCACAGAGGAGAAGCCUAAGACUGAGUCUGAGAACCAAACUGCCAAAGAGACCAAACCCUCCCAGAAGAAAGGAGAGCAGAUUACACCAAUCAAAGAAAUUAAGAAGUCCAGGCACUAUGAUGAUACAAAAAACAACAGCACCCAUGACUUGUCACGCAGUCCUCAAAGUCUCAGUGACACCGGUUACUCCUCUGAUGGCAUCUCCAGCUCCCACAGUGAAAUUACAGGUCUAAUCCAAGAAGAGGAGAUGAAGUUGAGCGAGAGGGGUAUCACUGGGAGGGGCUCCCCACCUAGCCCUUCUGAAAUCACCAAGCUAGAAAGCUCCAUGAGGCCUUUAUUAGAGAAGAGCCUCUCUGAAGAGAAGGCUGACAGAAGGGGACGAAAGCACAGGGACAGAGAUUUGGAUGACAGAGGGAAGCAGCGCCCACGCUCCCUGUCAAUCCCACCAGAUGCAUACGACUCUGACGAGGAAUUAGAAGAUAUAAUGGAGGAAGAAGAAGAUGGAGGAGACUGGGAGAGUAAACGAAAAGAAGGAAAGGAGGAGAAGAAGGAAAAGAAAAAGAAGGAAAAAGAGGCUGAGCCCACAGAGAUGACUGAUGAGGAGUUCAUGAGGAGACAAAUAAUGGAAAUGAGUGCUGAUGAAGAAAAUGAGGAGGAGGAGGAAGAGAUGGAGGAAGAGGAGGAUGAGGAAGACGAAGGAUAUGGCUACCAGAAACCCAAGAAAAGCCACCAUAAACACAUCAUCUCUGACUCAGGGAAAGAGAAAAGACGCCUUCAGCACCACUCCAGCAGUUUUGAGGAGGAAACUAAGAGCUCAACUGAUGUUUAUAAAGGCUCAGUGGAGGAAGGUGAGGAAGACGUGAUGGCAUCACAAGGAGGCCUCAGGCGCUUCAAAACCAUUGAACUCAAUAACACCAAUAGCUACAGUCGAGACAUGGAGCUGAGCAAUGAAAAUGAUCUGAGCCUUGAUCGGGAACCAGAGUUAGAGAUGGAGAGCCUAACAGGAUCUCCUGAGGAGCGUUCUCGGGGUGAUUACUCCUCCACUCUGCCACCCACCUCAUCCUCAUAUGGCUCUGGCCAGUCUCCUACUUCCAUCUCAUCAAUGGAGGAGGACAGUGACAGUAGUCCUAGCAGGAGGCAAAGACUGGAAGAGGCUAAACAGCAAAGGAAAGCACGCCACCGCUCCCAUGGCCCUCUCCUUCCCACCAUUGAAGACUCUUCAGAAGAGGAUGAGUUGAGAGAGGAAGAGGAACUUCUUAGAGAACAGGAGAAAAUGAGAGAAGUAGAACAACAGAGAAUAAGGAGCACAGCACGAAAGACCAAGAGGGAUAAGGAAGAGCUGAGGGCUCAGAGGCGCAGAGAGAGGUCCAAGACACCACCCAGCAAUCUCUCACCUAUCGAAGAUGCCUCUCCAACAGAAGAGCUAAGACAAGCUGCAGAAAUGGAAGAGCUCCAUCGUUCUUCUGCUUCUGAAUAUUCUCCUCAGAGUCUAGACUCUGAGGCUGAGGGAUACGAGUCCAAACUUUACAAGUCAGGCAGUGAGUACAACCUGCCUACCUUUAUGUCUCUGUACUCACCAAUGGAGAAAUCAUCACCCGCAACAACCACAACAGCACCAUCUUCAACUUCCAAACCACUGAAGAGUGCUGAGGAAGUUUAUGAGGAGAUGAUGAGGAAGGCAGAAAUGCUUCAAAAACAACAGAAACAACAGCAGCAACAGCAGCAACAACAUGGAAGACCUGGGCAGUACUACGAGGAAGACAUUAAUGGACAAGGUUAUGAUGAUGAGUAUGAAUAUGAACAAGAUCAGACUGGAUAUGACAAUGAGGCAGCAGAGACAGAAACAGAUAUUUAUGAGGAGAUUCGACAAACAUCUCAGAACAUCACCAAAAUGCAGCAGGCCACUGAUGAGCAAGUAGAGAUUGAGAUUGAGAGCUCUUACCCAGACAAACAGCUCCUGGACACAGGCUCAGCAUUUGCUAAACUACUGGAACAAAGCAAUGCUCUCUUGACUCCAGGGACCAGCCCCACCCAGAUCUCAGCUCCUGUCUCCUUUGCUGAGACUGGAGGACGGAUCCCUGAUGUCCGAGUAACACAGCACUUCUCUGCAAAGGAUGGACACAAAGACAGGAUCAAAAGCCAAGCUGGAAAGAAUGGAAUAACCCCAACAGUGGCAGCCACCACUAUUGCAGCUUAUGGAGUUUAUGCCAGAGAUGCAGUAACCAUUUCUCAGACUAGUUCAAGCCACACCAUGACGUCUACUCAGUCUGGAAUAUAUGGCAGACACACAGGAAGUACUGCAACAUCCUCUGCUACAGUGUCAAGUGUAUGCAGCAAGAUUGCAGAGAUUACCCAAGCCUACAGUCAGAGAGAAGUGAUCACCAGAAGGGUAGGAGAGACCAGAGGUGUCCAAGUGCGAGACAGUUCAACAUCUUCUACUGAGAGGAUAAUUGAGCCACGCUCUCCCAAGUAUACUACUUAUUAUAGGAGCACCAGUCCUCCUCUUUCUCCAUCACCACCACCACAGAGUCCCACCAGAUCACCUUCCAGAAGGGCUACAGCUGAGUUCUCCACACAGACUUUCAGUUCAGCAUUGCGAAUGGAGUCAGCUAGCUCUGGGCCCUCAUCUCCAGUGAUGGCUCAGGGAACCCAGACAUCACAUCGAUCAGUUUCUCCACGGUUGUAUCGACAACAGUCCUCCCAGGAUGCCCCAUACUCCCCACCUCCAAGCCCAGCUAGGCCAAUGACAGUCAACACUGCUACUUCUCCUCUGUCUUCACCUACCCGAUUUAGCCGCCAAUCAACAUUUGAUACUUACUCCCCAUCUGGCAGCCCUCCAGACACACCACCUUACCAACAGUCUCCCACACGCAGCUUCUACCGAACACAAAGAGUGGAGAAGGUGAAUGUGGGAACAAGUAUGGUCACCACAGCCAGCACUUACACGAGAGGGUCCAUAUCAAUGGAUAACAUCUCCCUCUGUCGAAUAUCUACUGUCCCAGGCACUUCUAGGGUAGAGCAGGGCCAUAUGAUCCAAGGUGGAAGUGUUGUGGACCUCAGGACAGCCACCAAACCUGCUCCUAUUAUUAUAACUGAUCAAGGAAUGGAUCUCACCUCGUUGGCCACUGAAAGCAGGAAAUACCAUGGUGGAUCAGAGGGUAGCAGACAUUCAACGAUUGUACAGCCACUAAUUAUGAACCUGAACACCCAGGAGACCACCACACCAACCACUGUGAGUGUCACUGUGGCUGCUUCAAUGUUCAUGACCCAGCCCAAACAGCCAACAGUCUAUGGUGACCCACAUCAAAGCAGAGUGGAUCUGGGCCAGGGGAUGGGUUCGGCUGUGUGUCUUUCACAGAACAAACCACAAAUUUCACCACCAACUGACCCAUCAAUACCAAAAAUUGAUGCCAAACUGGAAGACCUCAGUAUUCAACAGAGAGAGCUACAAAAACAACAAGAGAAGCUCCAGAAGCAACAAGAGCUCCUUGAACAGCAGUUGCAGCAGCACCAUCAGAUGCAACAGCACCAGCAACAAGCAUCUGCUUUGGCAAGGUACAAUCUUACUGGCCAGAUCUCACCUUUACUUAAAAAAGACUUGCUAGUCAGCCAGACUAGCACUGCCUCAGCUGUGGUCAGUGCUGUAUCACCAGUCAUUAAUCCUGAGCUGUACGGCACUGGUCCCAUUGAGCUAAAAGGGAAGGCCAGUCCUCCGGGUUUGAUGUCAGGAGGUAAAUCACCACAUAGCGUGGUAGUACAGAUGGAUGGAGGACCAGAGCAGGCCAGGGCAGUGACUCAGCUUGUAAAGGUAGAAGAGGGACAGGAUGCUUUGGAUCAGACAGAUGGCCAAAUUAAACCUGACAACCAACCAGCUUGCUGUGAUGUUGUUUACCGGCUUCCAUUUGGUGGAAGCUGUGUUGGUGUUUCUGAGAAAGAGGGCAUAAGGCCUCCAUCUGCCCCACCUCUCAGCUAUGAGUCUGACCACGAAAGACAACCUGGAAGGUACCAUGAGUAUCCAAUGGAUGGACGUAAGGCCUACACAUUACCUUUCCCUGGUAAGCUUCAGCCCUCAAUGUCUGAUACAAAUCUAGCUGAAGUUGGGCUACAGUCCUACCAUUCAAAACUUGAACCACACCUCCAAGUCUCAGGAGAACUUGCCAUGGAUCUGACUGCUAUGAAACAGGGUUAUGGAGGGUAUAUGGGGAUGCAGUAUGGCUCCUAUACAGAUUUACGCCAUGGAGGAGACAUCACAGCCCAAACACUGCCUAUAAGGAGAUAUAAUUCCUUGUCUAAUAUCAGUUCAGACUAUGGCUACUCUGCUCGUGACAUUGCUAGCUUCCAAGAAGCUAACUUGGCUCAGUACAGUGCUACAACUGCCAGGGAGAUCAGUCGGAUGUGUGCAGCACUCAAUUCCAUGGAUCGGUAUGCAAGCAACCCAGACUUGAUGCAGUUUGGCACUUUAGGGAGAGGAACUGGGCCUGGGACCUCCAGACUUGCUGCAGGUCUUGGCAUGAGGCAAAACCUCCUCUUUGGACUAGAUGGGAAGCCAAUCUCCCACAGUCAAGCACUAACCAACCUUAUCAAUGCCAGACAGGCCAGUCUCAGGGCCAUGUACCCUGCUGCUAUUAGGUCCUCUGAUGGGAUGAUCUACUCCACCAUCCAGACCCCUAUUGCUUCUACACUUCCCAUCACAACCCAGCCUGCCUCUGUUCUUCGCCCACUACUGAGGGGGGUCUACAGGCCCUACCCCUCGGCCAACAUGACACCUGUGCCCCUAUCUAGUCUGAGUAGACUACCAAUGAGCCCCAGAAUGCCCUUAUCUGGACAAACUCCAGUUCGUUACCCAGCACCAGGUCUUCUUCAAACAACAUCAACCACUGCCACUACUGCUGCCGCUGUAACAACUUCAGCACCAGUAGGUGCCCCAGGUUCCAUGCCAGCUACUAGCUCUACAGUCCAAGAUGAACCGGUUUACCUUGGUAAAGGUGCCACAAUGACACCCUCAUCAGCAGAAGUAACCUCAGUUGGAGGAACACUUGUCAUACCAACAGAGCAGCAGCAGCCAAUAAACCUGUCCCAGGCACACCUGAACAGUCAGCAACAACAACAACAACAGCAACAACAACAAGUGACAACUGCUCAGCAGCCACAGCAACCUCCUCCAGCAGCUCAUGCCUACCCACCUUCAGGUCCUUCACACACCCAUGGCUAUUCCCAACCUCCAGUAGGGCCUUCUGCCCCUUCCAGUGGCUUACCAAUUGCAGGGGGUCUUCCUCCGUUUCCGCCACCAGGAGCUAUACACAAGGAGGGUGAAACCGAGGCAGAGAGGCUGCAUCGGCAGCAAGAGCAGCUUCUUCAGAUGGAGAGGGAACGUGUGGAGCUGGAGAAACUCCGGCAACUGCGUCUGCAGGAGGAGCUUGAACGGGAAAGGAUAGAGCUGAAGCUGCACAGAGAGAAGGAGCAGAUGCUCGUGCAGAGGGAGUUACAGGAGCUGCAGAACAUCAAGGAACAGGUCCUACAGCAGCAGCAACAAGAACGUGAGAAACAACUUGUUCUCCAGAGGGAGCAGCUGGCCCAGCAGAAGUCCCAGCUAGACCAGAUCCAAUCUUUACAGCAACAGCUCCAGCAGCAGCUUGAAGAGCAAAAGAGACAGAAGACAGUUGCCGCAGCUCAGGGCAUACAGCUGGAUGUGAAUGGACAGCCCCUGCACCCCUAUAUUGACUCUCAGAUGGGCUCCCGUUCCCUCCCCAACUCCUCAUCAGAGAUGUGUCUGAGGAGCCAGGAAGAGCACAUGGACAUCAGGAGUACCAUGAGGAAACACAGCUCCAUGACCAGGCUGAGCAGGGACAGCUUGGAUGGUGAUGGUGUGGUGUUCUACGGUUCCCCCCGCAGAAUUGUGGACAGCUGUGUGCAGACAGACGAUGAGGAUGGGGAAGAGAGGUACAUGAUGCGCCAUCGCACCAGGAGGCGCGGGCGCAGCGUUGACUGCUCUGUCCAGACAGACGACGAUGAGGACAAGGCAGAGGUGGAACAUCCAGUCCGCCGAAGACGUUCCCGUUUCUCCCGGCACUCUGAGUCCAGUGUCGCUGGCAGCAGCACUGCCACCACAAUGAAUGCAGCUUCUGACACAAAAACCGACACGUCCAAGAUGGUAUCCUCCAGUAUUGCUGUCCAGACCAUUAGAGAAAUGUCUUGCCAGACAGAGGUGGAGCACCUAGGACGAGUCUCCCCAGCGAUCCAUGUGACAGUACCAGACCCAAAUAAAGUGGAGAUUGUGCACUACAUCUCUGGACCUGAGCGGACCCAAAAAGGACAGUCUCUAGCAUGCCAGACUGACCCAGAAGCCCAGUCACAGGGUGUUGUGGCUCCACAGCUCAGUGUACCAACAACAAUUAGUCCAUAUUCUUCCUCUACCAGUACUGGAACACAACAAUCCAGUUCUGCUGACCUUCUUACCCAGCAACGCCAGCAGCAGCAUAUCGCAGCAAACGCAGCCAAGUUUGAGCGACGUCGACCUGACCCGCUUGACAUCAACUACCAGCCUCACAACCACCUCCACAACGAGUCUAUCUCCAGCAUCAUUCGGCAGCAGCAGACAGCUCCCAAAUCCCCACAGGUCCUCUACUCUCCUGUGUCUCCAGUGUCCCCUCACCGCCUGCUGGAGACUUCUCUGUCCAGUGAACGGCUGAACAAGGCACAUGUCACACCUCAGCAGAAGUCCUACACAGCAGAGUCUCCCCAGCGACAUCCGUCUGUGCCCCGACCCAUCAAGAGCACCCAGAGGUCCAUGUCAGACCCUAAACCCCUCAGCCCCACCACAGACGAACACACCAAGGCCAGACUGUCCCUGUAUCAACAGCAAGCACUCCAGAGCCAGCUGGCAGCCCUACAGCAGAGCUCACUACUCCGUAAGGUCAAGCGAACCCUGCCCAGCCCUCCUCCAGAGGAGACUACUACAUCAGCUCAUCUGCCCAUGAUGACGCCCACCCUUCAACAGGUCUACCUGCCCUCCGUGCCCAGCCUCAAGCCCAGCUCCAGGUCUGGUCUGGCCGCUAAAGCCAGCCUCCUCAAAGAUCUCACCCAUGAGUUGAAGGCUGUGGAGCAAGAGUCAACCAAACUGAGAAAGCAGCAAGCUGAACUGGAGGAGGAAGAGAAAGAGAUCGAUGCUAAACUGAGAUACCUAGAGCUGGGGAUCCACCAAAGAAAAGAAACACUGGUCAAGGAGAGGGAGAGGAGGGAUAUUGCCUACCUGAGGUGUAUGGGGGACACUCGGGACUAUAUGUCUGAUAGUGAGUUGAAUAACCUACGUUUAGCAGCUGCAGCUGCAUCACAUGAGACCAAUGGGCUGUUGACAACAAGGCCAAGCACUGCACCUCUCAGCCAGUUCACCAGUGAUCUCAACACAGCAGCCCAGUACCCACCCACUUCAUCCUUCCUCUCCUGUCAGUACCCCCAGAGCCAACCAGCAGCACCAACUCAACAACCAAGUGUGCUAUACCAGUCUUCAACAUUCAACCAGCCUCCCUAUCCAACAGUGUCUCAGUCCCAGGCACUGCCACAGCCUACACCCCUCCAGAGCCACAUCCCCCCUCCAGGACCUUCCUAUCAGUCUCAAACCUCCUCCUAUCCUUCCCACACCUACCCCCAAACUCAGCCCCCAUACCCCCAGACAGACAUGGGGUUACCAGCUGCACCUCAACCUCAGCCUCAGCCGGGGCAUACAGGUUUCGGGCCUGCACCACCUGGUCAGCCCCCAUACCCCACCCACAGCUCACCUUAUCCCAGCGCUGUGUCCUCCUACCCCAGCCAGACCACCCCAUACCCUGGGCAGCCCCAAGCUGAUAUCUUGACAGUCCAUCCUGGAAGACCCAGGCAGACUUCACUAGCCGAUCUGGAGCACAAGAUGCCCACCAACUACGAGACGAUCAGCAACCCCACGGUCGUGGUCACCACCACAGCCCAGGAUGCUACCUAUUCCAGUGCAGCCCCCUCUUAUGGUCAGUACACUGGAACAACAACUAUGGCCAGCUCCUAUGGACCCUAUGGCUCAGCACCAGUGUCCAGCAGCUAUGGUGGGUACUCUACCAUGCCACCCACCACUUAUGGGCAGUAUACUUCAACAUCAGCUAGUUCAUAUGGCCAGUAUACUACAACCACUGCUAAUACUUAUGGCUACACCACCACCACAGCCAGCUCUUACGGACAGUACACUUCUACAGUUUCAAAUGCUUAUGGGCACUCUGUAGACAGUCCCUCAACCUACAGCACUGCAGAUGGGAUCUAUGGGGCCCCUGGCUUAGAGCAAAACAUCCCAAGGAACUACAUGAUGAUUGAUGACGUAAGCGAGCUGACGGCAAAAGAUGGGCUGGGCACGACGACAGUGGACAUGAUGCAUCAUGGCGGCAGUGGGCGUUACCAGGGCGACAUCCAUGGCCACAGCAGCACCAUUGGCAGCACGACGCGUGGGGGAACUGGCAGCUCCUCGUACGGCAGGGCACCUGAGGAGGAAGCAGCGAUGCAGGAAGAGCUGUACGACCACCAUGGCAGGGGUAAGAGCAGCUACAGGCACGGACCUCUAGGGGGCAGCAGCAGCAGCGUGAGCGCUAGCAUGGGUGGGGGAUCCCCCUAUUACUAUGACUACGACUACAAACAUGGCAGCAUCCGCUCCGGGGUACAGAAACCUUCACCAUCCUCCAGAAGCCUUCUGGCUCCUGCAGUCAUGUCUUCCAAGCGCAGCAAGCACAGGAAACUGGGGAGUAUGGAGCAAAAAAUCUCCAAGUUUUCCCCCAUCGAGGAGGCUCGGGAUGUGGAGGCAGACCUGGCUUCCUAUUCCUCAGCAACAGGUGGAGCUUACUCCUCCUCUCACAUUCGAGGGCGCCAGCUGAUCGAGGAUUACGGCUUUAAGAGGAGUGCUUAUGAGGGCGGCAGUGGCACCACUCAUGGUAGUCGAUACUAUGGUUCGAUGGUGGAGGAGGACGAUCGAAUUUACUACACGUCCACCGGCCGCUCCCGUUCCACCGGCUAUGGCAUGGACAAGAUCUCAGCCAGGGACUACCCUGGGUAUCGCAGCCGAUCCUAUGAGAGGGACGAUCGCUCCUACCGAUCUGGUUACAGCCAGGGGCGCCACCCAACCCGGCAGUACUCUGAAGAGGAGAGUCCACUCAGUCCCCUGGGGAAGUUCAUGGGUUCUGGCCGAUCAUCAAGCUUAGGUCCCGAUCCAUACGACAGUCGCAGCAGUAGAUAUCAUUACUAUUAUGGCCAGUAUGGUUCCAGCCACUCGCUGCCAGACGUACAAGACCACAUACGGGACCUUCCCAGGACACAUGUCUACAAAUCGGAUGAUACAUACAUUAUAGACGAUUAUCAUUGCGCUGUGUCAGACAGUGAAGCCUACCAUCUGGGCCAGGAAGAAACUGACUGGUUUGAGAAGCCACGUUCCAGUUCUCGACACUACGGCAGCAGCCACUCAUCUGGGAGAAGCCGACAUGGUGUCAAACACACCUACCAUGAUUAUGAUGAGCCUCCUGAGGAGGACCUGUGGCCCCAGGAUGAGUAUGGCCAUGGAGGGCGUCACUCUUCGUCCCGUGACCACCGGCACCAUGGCAGCUCUAGUCGACACUCGUCCUCGUCACGUCAUUCAGAUGAGCCGAGGUCCUCAAGGUCAUCUAAGGGGCACCCCAAAGACCCGUCAAUGAGACAUGACCCUUCAGGACGAUCUUCGUCUUCAGGUAGGCGUGGUGAAUCAAGGUCAGGGGGAUACCACUCUUCGGACUACUCACGGGAUCCUUCUGGACACCACCAUGGCCAGCGCUCCUCCAGACAGGGAGACCCACACCGGUCUUCACGCAGCAAGUCCCAGCAACCAGUGGACAUGCAGGGCCAACCACCAGGUUCCUCCAGGUCUGGCAGCAGCUCUGCCCGGGCUCAGGGCCCCGCCAGUGGGCCAGCAGGAUCAGGGCGACAGGGUGGUCCAGGUUCUCAGACAGAUGUUGGUCCAGGACAGAGGGCCCAGCUCCAACAACAAGCCCAGACAUCAGCGGCUAGGCCAGGGCAGCCCAGUGCCACAGCUACCACUGGCCCUCAGCAGCAGACAUCAACCCAGGGUCAAGGCAUGGGCAUGGGACAGGGCCAGGCCAAGCAAGGGCAGAUGGGACCAGCAGGUGGACCCAUGGGGCAGGCCAGGCAGACAGGUCCGGCAGGAACCAUGCCAGUCACAAUGGCCAAGAUUGACACGCCUCCAGUGACAGCCAUUGGAGCGAAGGCAGCACCUGUCAUGGCCUCCAAAGUUGCCCAGCCCCCACUCACAGGCAUAGGCUCCAAGGCGGCUCCUAGGCCAGGAGGUAUUGGCAGUGCAGCAGCAGGGCAACCUGGCAUGGAGGGAGACAGCAUGUUGUCCAAGAUCCUGCCUGGAGGAGCUGCUGAGCAGGCCGGCAAACUGGGAGAAGCUAUCUCUGGUUUUGGCAAGAAAUUCACCUCAUUCUUCUGAGGUUCCAAAUUUUAAGGACUAUGUACUGUAAAUGUCAACUGAUGAAGUCAUGAGGCCUCGUACCAGAAAAACCUGUGAAGUUCCCCUGCUUUUGUUUUACUAAAAGAGAGAGAGGAAGGAGAGAGAGAGAGGGAGGGACUGAGAGGAGAGCUGAGCAUACUGCCAAUAAGGACUGGGAUCCUCCAGAUAUUUCAUGUCUCAGGCCUGAACACACUGACAAGAGAGAACAUGCUGCUCUCUCUGACAGGCCAGACAAUCAUUCCAAACCAACAUCCAUCUUCAGGACUAUCCUUGUUCAUCCAGCAUCCCCAGCCAAAGACUCGAAACCAGACUACUGCAGAGCCCCUACGAGGAGCCUGUAGCAGUUCAACACAUCUUUGUUGCUUCAUCAUAGAAGAGCAAGUGCAAAAUUGAAAGAGGCAGGCUUUUAUUUUUGCAGCUCUUUCUCCAUGCAAGUAGUGGGAUCUGUAUGUACAUCAUGGGAGACCUUCAUAGAACCAGUGUAGUCCAACUUCCAUGUGGAUUUAACUCUGCAGCUCCAAUGAAAGGAAAUAGAGGGGUAAUGCUACUCUUGUCCCAUAUGCUGACAACUCCACCAUUUAUUUGAGAGCUGCUUUUUCCCGUGGACAGGAAGUGGUAGCUUUACUACAGGCAUGGUGGCAUGACAGGAUCCUUGGUUUCACAGUCCUGGGCUCAAAUUAUGAAUAACGGCAACAAAUCAGCCUCCUCCUCUUUUCUAUCUCUUCUCAAAGUAAAACAAACAAACAAAAGAAAAAAAGUCCUGCAGGUUUUUCUGGUACUAAAGACCUCUUAUUACAUCACCUGUCAAGAAACUGAGUGAUGGAAAUGUCACAUCGAAUGAAUAUGACAAUGAUAAUGAUGUAGCUGACACAGUGAAUAAGUGUGUCAGCGUGCAUUUCUUUCCACGGUUUGCUCUGUUUCUAUCUACAUUCCAGAUUGGAACUGUUAAAACCUUUUUUUCCCCUCUUCUUCCUCACCUCUCUGCGUUUCUUGAAUGCUGAUUCUUCUUUCUUUCUAAUCCCCAUCCAACAAUCCUCAACUUGCCAUGUCUUUAAAGAAGUGUAUUGUGGACUUUAAAAAAAUAUAUAGGAAUUUGGAAUGCAUGGAACUUUUUAUCCAAGACCUUACACUGUUCAUCAUUACUUAACAGAGGCCAUAAAGACACUGGGAAACCAAUCUAAGCAAGUAAUAGUAAAUAAGUAAGUAAAUAAUAACAAGAAGAGAGAUUAGCAACACACAGGAAUAUGGCCACAGGAAUAAGAGGAGCCUUUUUUUUCUUUUUUCCUUUUCUUUUUUUUUUUUUUUUUUUUUUUUUUUUUGAUUCUUCAUUUUAUUUAGGGAAAACAUUCCAUUUGGUAUUUGCAGUAAUGCUGUAUGUGGUCGGGUUGUUCUUCAGCCAUUACAAAGCCAUUAAAACAACACUUACCUGCACUGCUUGUGGCAAUGAGGUUCCUCCAACUGCUCCACAACAUUUGGCUCUCAGAUAUUUCUCAUGUUGUUAUAGAUGGUCAUCAUUUGUCAUAGUUUCUUCAUUCUUUCGAAUUUAGUUUCCUUAUUUCCCUGUUGUUUAUGUUGCAGGUUACCAAUAUCGCCUUAAUCAUUUUUGAAAUGUUUUAUUUUGAAGUAAAAGUGGCAUAUUUUUUAUCACAUACUGUACACAUGUAUUUUCAUCACACCCUUUUUUUAUGUAGUAAUAUGAGCUGGAACACUGGCCACAGUGAGAUUAAUUUAUAUUUUUAAGAUUAACUUUGUUUUUGAUAAUUGUUUGUGAUAUUAUUUUUCUUUUACUUAUGUUUUGUAAUGUUUUGUUACCUUCAUCAAGCCCCCCUGUCAAUUUUUGACUCUUGUUUAUUAUCAAUAAUUAUAAAAGCAAUAGAGUAAGAGGUAAGAGAGUAAAGAGCACAAUCUUGUGUCAUUUUAAAAGUUGGUGGAAUGGAAAUGUGUUGCCUCUGUCUGUCUAACUUACCACUGAUAUACCGCUCAAGUCUGACUUAAACGCACCACAAAAUGUACUCCUAUACUGUACUACUGCUGUACUAAUACAUCAGAGAGCAGGAGCUCACCUAUAGACCAUGACUUUGGUACCACCCAGAUCUUCUUCUCCUACCAACAGUGAGACAUUGGUGUCGUCAAUCAGCCAGUCAGUGGAUCAGAGUGAUAAGCUGUUUGUAUUAGCCAGCUGGAGUCUAAUCUGACAGCACUGCAGGGCAGCAGAGAGGCACUGAAAAGCAGACCAGUCGCACAUCUCGACAGAACUGGACUUUGCAUCGUCACCUGAUGGGGGUUUGGGUUUCAAUGUGAUUCUUCUGACCCUCCAAGAUGGACAUUUAUUUGGAGUCUGCAAAAAGGCCUGCUGGGCUCCUCACACAUCAGUGUAUAUCAGCAUGUGUGUUCACUCUGUCUAAUGUGCACAGUGCACGUGAAAGCACACUCGAUAAUGGUGUCAAAAAAAGCAAGGAAAAAAAAUCAGUAUUUAUGUGACUGAGGAACCAAAAAUAACACACUUGGUUGUGUCACAAAGUCACUCGCCUUUUUUUAACUUUUCAUUUUCUAUCGUGGUGGCGUCCAGACCUGUAAUCCAACCCCUGAAAACCUCUCUCUCUGACUGUCAGUUGUCAUGGAAACUUCUCAGGUCAGUGUUCUCCCUGCUGUUGCUCCUGCAGUGCAUUGUGGGAUCUGCGGUUCGGUACUCAAAAACAUACUCUGUCGGGCCAAACAUUGCGAGGCCUUCAGCAAAACCAACGAACCAACCAACUUCUGCUGUAUAUUGUCUGUGUGAACGCUCGCUGGGAACCUUCGCAUGCUGCCCGGCGCAGAAAAACCUCAAAGUCACCUCUAUAUUGUUCUGUUCCUAAUGUUUGUAUGUAUGUGUGUGGGGGUUCUGUAUGCGUGUAUUUAACGACCAUCAUCCAAUGUGGAAAAGAAAAGAAAACAAGACAAAACACAAGUUCAAACACAACAAGUACGGUGGGCAGAAGAGGCGACCUCUCAUCUCCAGUCGUUCUAUGCAAUGAAAACAGAAGCGUGAGGAGGAAAAAGGAAGUGAAACACACAAUGGGAAAAAGGUCACGCAAAUCAUUGUUUAUCACACCUGAGUUAAAUGUCAAGAGUUCUUUGUUUUGGCAUUCCUCAUAGAUCAAAGCAAGGAGAGUCUGUGAAUUUGUUUGUGUAUAAUAUAGAAUCACCUGUGAGUUAAGAAAUAAUAAGAGGUUUUUGUAUUGCGUUAAUCUGGUAUGUGCAGGGUCCCCUCCUCUUUUAAAGUUGGUGUCUGCUAGCAAAUGGUCACUUGCUCGAGGUGUGUUCAAGACAGCUGGGAAAUCAGAGCGUUUUCACUUUUACUUUUUCACUUUUCACAUUCCUUAUGAAACAAAUACUAGAAAUCUGUAACAAAAGGAAAGAAAUCUAUAAUCUUACACAGUUAUUGUAAAACUGAUUUAAUCCCUUGCCAGUUUCAAUAGAAACCUACAUAAAUAUAAAAAUAAAAUCCAACAAAAGAUGCAACACAAUAUGCAAGAGCCCCAUUACGAGACUCUCAGUAAAGUCGCAGCAAAGAUCCCAGUUGUAAUGAACACAACCAAAUGAGUGAGGCAUCUUGUUUUGCUUUAUUUGCAGGGGAGAACGGCAUAUACAAGAAAAUUGUUCAGAGAAUAAUAGAAAGAAAAAUUAAUAUGGUUGUUGUCUGCUCAGGGGUGAAGAAGAAAAGCUCCCCAUUUACUUAGUUAAUAUAUAUUUGUCUGUUUGUUUUCAAAGACAAAGGCCCAAAGUUGAUGGUAAUUAAGUAGUUAUUAACUAACUUUAACUAGUCGGGCCUUUGUCAUACACAGUAUAUAUAUAUAUAUAUAUAUAUAUAUAUAUAUAUACACAUUUGACUAAAAACAUACUGCUGUGUGCUGCUAGUGAGCACUAUUCACUUAAUUCCUAAAAAUGAAGUAAUUGGUGAGAAGUCAGUUUGUGUUUGACUGUUUAAAGGUGCACUGCCACAACAUGCUAAGAGAUAAGAUUUAUAAGGUAAAUACACUGUGGAAAGAAAAUUUCUUUACCUCAUAAAACAAAAAUCUACCAUCUGAGUUAUCAGUUUGGUAACAGCACACCAAGACAAGAAAAUUAUGAAGAAGCUAUUUAUGAAAAUUCAGAUUUAAAAAGAGUUUUAUGCAGUACGAAAAAAUUUGAGCAUGGAUUAACAAGUCACUGGAACUGUGUAAAAGAGGUUAAUAUAUAUUUUUUGUGAAACAUUUAUCAGAUGAUUUAUCAAUGUAAGAAUUUAUUUUAUCAUAUUCAGAGGGGAUAGAAAGCUGGCUGGGAUUUCAGAAAGAAGAGACAUUUAGACAUGUACAGUGAUAAAUUAUGUUUAUACAGAUGUCAUCUAUUGCUGGAUUUAUGCACAGCCAAAAUAAUUAGAUUAUUAAAAAUCAGAAUCUGAAAAUAUCUUCCAUUGAAAUUAUGCUUUUAAAUUAAAAUUCUCAGUUUGAUUGGUAGAAAAGUAAAAAGUCAUUUACUGGUUCUUGUUUAACAGAAGAAAUGCCAGUGUGUUGUCAUGUGAUUGAUUGUUUUUUGUUUGUUUUGUUUUUGUUUUUUUUUAAAUCAAAAGCCUUUCAUAAUCUACGUCCAUAAUUUUCUCUUGACCUACUUUAUGUGCAAGUCUACUGGUCAUAAUGCCUUUUGGCCUUUUCAGUCUGAUUAUUCUGGUUAUGUUUGAAUCUGGUUGUUCCUCUUCAGUCUGUUUAAUUGCACAUCAGGUGCACAUGGCCCAAACAAACUUCACAGGUACACUGCCACCAGAUCACUAACUUCAACACAGAAGCUUAACAUUAGCCAGAUGUCAAAGUAGAACAAAUAAUAUGAGAGAGUUUAAAGUUACCCAAAUUAAUACCAACUUCCUAUAUUGUAUGUCGUAUGUUUUGGGAAGUUUAUAAAAAAUAAAAUGUUCCUCAAUCACUUUUGCCUCAGGAAAGCGCACACUAAAUGCAGCACUGCAAUGGAGGUGUUCAAAAGACAAUAGAAAAUAAUGGUUGGAUUUAUGCAGGUGCAAUAAAUCAGAUUUGCAACACUUUAUGACACAGACGUGACCUUCCCAUGGCUGUUUUUGAAUGACACAGCCAAGAGCAUGAUAAAUAACAUAAUGCGUUGUGUGUUUGUGUGUGUGUGUGUGUGUGUCUAUACACACACACACACACACACACACAUUUCUAUGUGUCAAAAAGUGUUAAACAACAUUUUUUUUGCUCCAGUGUGAAUACAGCCACAGAAGGUCACUUAAAUAUGCAUAGAAGCAAGGGCUUUUAUACUACAAUACUGGUCACUGAAGAAAGCCAUCCUGUUACUGCCCUCUAGCCAGUCAUGGUCUCUGUCUAUACUCUGCAUGGUGUCAGUCCAGGAAUGCAAUGGACUUCAGGUCUGACUGCAGCAAUCACCAGUGGGCAAAAUCACUGAGCCACAGUCUGGUUUUUCAGAGGUGUUUGAAGCACAAAAUGUAGACAAUAAUAAAAGGUAAAGCUUUAAAAGUUGUGUUCCAAAUUUAAAGUAUUGUUUCUUUAAGCCCCUCAAAACAGACACUAGUUUUCAUGAGAGAAAUAUCAACAUUUUUCUAAAUAUUAGGAGAUGAAAUUCACACAUAUGUACUUAGAAUUCACACAUUUGCAAUAGAUCACAAAGGGCCUGAUCUACAGACAUGAAGCCAAGAGAGGUUGCUUACACCAGUUCUCUGUUUAAAAGAGGUAAACUCUCAAAGGGCUUGACUUGUCUUUGAAUCCAACAAUUCGGCAUUUUCCGGCACUGAUCUAGUACUUGUGAGGACUAUUGUCUGACUAUACAGACCUUAAAAGGACAAACUUUAAGUUCCACAAGAGUUAAAAACAAUUUCUUUGUCAACUUUAUUUAAAUGAAGCUUAGAAUGCUUUUGGAAAAACCUGGACUGUGUGUGUGUGUGUGUGUGUGUGUGUGUGUUCUUAACUAAAAAGGUAGCAUAACUGUCACCACUGCUCUGCUGUUGAUCGUGCAGUCAACGUAUAGCAGGGCCAUAGAAAGAUAUAUAUAUAUAAUAAAGUAAAUGUUUCAUAGGUGAGAGGUUGUGAACAGAGAGCAAGAAUGAGACAAACCAAACCAUGAGAGAAAAGCUACCACAUCAAUCUUUCACAUCAGGGAGUGUUUAUUCAUCUUUCACUUGUAAUGAAUCAUCAAAGUGCAUGACCUGAAACACCUCCCCCACCCAUCCCUUGACCAUCUGAACCUCUUUGACCUCCCACCUCACGGGCUGCCAUCUUUUUUUUCCAAUGUAAAUACAAGAUGGAAAGCGGCCAGAAUCUGCUUUGAACAAACAACAAUAACAUGUAAAUGCCAUGAAGGACAUGUUCUGUACAACAUGUAAAUCUCAAACAUGCCAACAUAACCACAACACUCACAGACAAAACACACACACAUGCACACGGGCAUGAGAGUGGCUUUUGCACACUACACGGCAACACAAGCUGGAGCGUAUGCAAGCCUGACCCUCCCUGCCCAAAUUUGUGCUUUUUGUGUAUAAAAAUAAUAAAACCUACAUAACAAACAAGAGCAGUUGUUGAUUUGAAUAAUAAAUUACAAAAAAUGCAUUGUGUAUGUAUGUGGCUGGCUCGUGCGGACUGUUUAAAACUCAUUUAAAAAGUUGUAUUCGGAUAAAAAAAAAAAAUAACAAAAACAUAUUGGUCUGUGUAGAGUUUCUAUACAUGUUGUGUUUGUAAAAUGAGAUGACAUCAAAAACAAAAAAAGGAAAAAUAUUCUGGCCUCCAUGUAAUUUUUGGGUUGGACAGAUGAUGUUAUGGGGAGAUGGAGAGAGUGAUUAGGCAAUGAAGAUGUGUAAAAAAAAAAAAAAAAAAAAAAAAACAUAAAAUAACACAAUUGAAUGAUGAAAAGAGUGUGAAAAUAUAAUACAGAAAAAGGUCAAGAGCCUAAAAAUGACUACAAAGUGUUCCAUUCACUGUUGUAAGUGCAAUGAGCUAAAUUUCCUGUUCCCCAUUGUAAAACCUUGUGUAUGUUUCCGUGUAUUCCUCCUGUAAAUGGGUGUAGUAGACCUGGUGCAUCAUGCCAUGUAAUGUGAUGAAUGACAAAUUAUGACCUUACAAUACAUUUCAAUCAGGAAAAAUAAAUAAAAGACAAGUGCAUAAAAACAAAA
Lates calcarifer (barramundi perch) is the source of this 19967-nucleotide RNA transcript. It is a transcript of the gene named bassoon presynaptic cytomatrix protein a, with no coding region annotated. Lineage: Eukaryota; Metazoa; Chordata; Actinopteri; Centropomidae. The record is from RefSeq and is a predicted model, not a curated record. The transcript has 16 exons.